UACGUAGGGUGCGAGCGUUAAUCGGAAUUACUGGGCGUAAAGCGUGCGCAGGCGGCGCGUUAAGACAGGUGUGAAAGCCCCGAGCUUAACUUGGGAAUUGCGCUUGUGACUGGCGGGCUGGAGUGUGGCAGAGGGAGGUGGAAUUCCACGUGUAGCAGUGAAAUGCGUAGAGAUGUGGAGGAACACCGAUGGCGAAGGCAGCCCCCUGGGCUGAGAUUGACGCUCAGGCACGAAAGCGUGGGGAGCAAACAGG
This 253-nucleotide ribosomal RNA is filed under the name uncultured bacterium. Its description in RNAcentral is "partial 16S ribosomal RNA". It matches the Rfam family "Bacterial small subunit ribosomal RNA", at positions 524 to 776 of the family's 1533-position model. The record is from RNAcentral.